CCAGCCAUGCCGCGUGAGUGAAGAAGGCCUUCGGGUUGUAAAGCUCUUUCGGCCGGAACGAAAUCGCUCGAGCUAACACCUCGAUUGGAUGACGGUACCGGAACAAGAAGCACCGGCUAACUACGUGCCAGCAGCCGCGGUAAUACGUAGGGUGCAGGCGUUAAUCGGAAUUACUGGGCGUAAAGCGUGCGCAGGCGGCUCUUUAAGUCAGAUGUGAAAUCCCCGAGCUUAACUUGGGAACUGCGUUUGAAACUGGGGAGCUAGAGUGCGGCAGAGGGGGGUGGAAUUCCACGUGUAGCAGUGAAAUGCGUAGAUAUGUGGAGGAACACCGAUGGCGAAGGCAGCCCCCUGGGCCUGCACUGACGCUCAUGCACGAAAGCGUGGGUAGCAAACAGGAUUAGAUACCCUGGUAGUCCACGCCCUAAACUAUGUCGACUGGUUGUUGGGGGAAAUUGUCCCUCAGUAACGUAGCUAACGCGUGAAGUCGACCGCCUGGGGAGUACGGUCGCAAGAUUAAAACUCAAAGGAAUUGACGGGGAC
This 540-nucleotide ribosomal RNA is filed under the name uncultured bacterium. RNAcentral describes it as "bacterial SSU rRNA". It matches the Rfam family "Bacterial small subunit ribosomal RNA", at positions 388 to 920 of the family's 1533-position model. The record is from RNAcentral.